CAAAAUUUAUUGACUUAUAUACACAUACAGUAUAAUUUUUUACCCCACAUUAUUCUUGUAUUAGAACAACAUCUUCGGUUCAAAAGGAAUCGUAUACGAAAAUUGCAAAUAAAGAACAUGUGAGAUUUGAUCACAAAGUUCAGUCAAUGGUACAUACUUCUUUGACCGUCGAACAAGUGCAAUAUCUUUCUAUUAUGAUUAUAGUUUGGGACUAUAUAUUACAACCUGUGUUUAAAUACUGCAAUCCAACUUACAAGAUU
This 260-nucleotide long non-coding RNA is filed under the name Cicer arietinum (chickpea). RNAcentral's name for it is "long non-coding RNA (CARI_LNC000925)". The record is from RNAcentral. Lineage: Eukaryota; Viridiplantae; Streptophyta; Magnoliopsida; Fabales; Fabaceae.